AGAGUUUGAUCCUGGCUCAGAUUGAACGCUGGCGGCAGGCCUAACACAUGCAAGUCGAGCGGAAACGAUACCAGCUUGCUGGUAGGCGUCGAGCGGCGGACGGGUGAGUAAUACUUAGGAAUCUACCUAGUAGUGGGGGAUAGCUCGGGGAAACUCGAAUUAAUACCGCAUACGACCUACGGGAGAAAGGGGGCAGUUUACUGCUCUCGCUACUAGACGAGCCUAAGUCGGAUUAGCUAGAUGGUGGGGUAAAGGCCUACCAUGGCGACGAUCUGUAGCUGGUCUGAGAGGAUGAUCAGCCACACCGGGACUGAGACACGGCCCGGACUCCUACGGGAGGCAGCAGUGGGGAAUAUUGGACAAUGGGGGAAACCCUGAUCCAGCCAUGCCGCGUGUGUGAAGAAGGCCUUUUGGUUGUAAAGCACUUUAAGCAGUGAAGAAGACUCCUCGGUUAAUACCCGUGGACGAUGACAUUAGCUGCAGAAUAAGCACCGGCUAACUCUGCGCCAGCAGCCGCGGUAAUACAGAGGGUGCAAGCGUUAAUCGGAAUUACUGGGCGUAAAGCGAGCGUAGGUGGCUUGAUAAGUCAGAUGUGAAAUCCCCGGGCUUAACCUGGGAACUGCAUCUGAAACUGUUAGGCUAGAGUAGGUGAGAGGAAGGUAGAAUUCCAGGUGUAGCGGUGAAAUGCGUAGAGAUCUGGAGGAAUACCGAUGGCGAAGGCAGCCUUCUGGCAUCAUACUGACACUGAGGCUCGAAAGCGUGGGUAGCAAACAGGAUUAGAUACCCUGGUAGUCCACGCCGUAAACGAUGUCUACUAGUCGUUGGGUCCCUUGAGGACUUAGUGACGCAGCUAACGCAAUAAGUAGACCGCCUGGGGAGUACGGCCGCAAGGUUAAAACUCAAAUGAAUUGACGGGGGCCCGCACAAGCGGUGGAGCAUGUGGUUUAAUUCGAUGCAACGCGAAGAACCUUACCUGGUCUUGACAUAUCUAGAAUCCUGCAGAGAUGCGGGAGUGCCUUCGGGAAUUAGAAUACAGGUGCUGCAUGGCUGUCGUCAGCUCGUGUCGUGAGAUGUUGGGUUAAGUCCCGCAACGAGCGCAACCCUUGUCCUUAGUUACCAGCGGGUUAAGCCGGGAACUCUAAGGAUACUGCCAGUGACAAACUGGAGGAAGGCGGGGACGACGUCAAGUCAUCAUGGCCCUUACGACCAGGGCUACACACGUGCUACAAUGGUAGGUACAGAGGGCAGCUACACAGCGAUGUGAUGCGAAUCUCAAAAAGCCUAUCGUAGUCCAGAUUGGAGUCUGCAACUCGACUCCAUGAAGUAGGAAUCGCUAGUAAUCGCGGAUCAGAAUGCCGCGGUGAAUACGUUCCCGGGCCUUGUACACACCGCCCGUCA
RNAcentral lists this ribosomal RNA (1398 nucleotides) under uncultured bacterium. Its description in RNAcentral is "bacterial SSU rRNA". It matches the Rfam family "Bacterial small subunit ribosomal RNA". The record is from RNAcentral.